RNAcentral lists this ribosomal RNA (497 nucleotides) under uncultured bacterium. RNAcentral describes it as "partial 16S ribosomal RNA". It matches the Rfam family "Bacterial small subunit ribosomal RNA", at positions 29 to 507 of the family's 1533-position model. The record is from RNAcentral.
AGUGAACGCUGGCGGCAGGCCUAACACAUGCAAGUCGAGCGGCCACACAAGAGAGUUUGCUCUCUGGGUUUCGCGUCGGAGAGGGGAGUAAAAUAUAGCGAACCUACCCCUAAGGCUGGGGUAAACUCAGGAAACCUUAGCCAAUACCGGCAAAUAUCUUUCACGGCAAGGUUGGAGAGCGCAAGACCUCUUUGCUGUCACUUAUAGAUUGCCCCACGAGGGAUUAGCUAGUUGGUUGGGUAACGACUUACCAAGGCGACGACGCGUAGCCGAUCUGAGAGGGUGAUCGGCCACACUGGAACUGAGACACGGUCCAGACUCCUACGGGAGGCAGCAGUGGGGAAUCUUGGACAAUGGGCGAAAGCCUGAUGCAGCCAUACCGCGUGGGUGAAGAAGGUCUUCGGGUCGUAAAGCUCUGUUGUUGGGAAAGAAAACAUGCAGGCGAAUCUCUGGGGGUGAUGACGGUACCCAAAGAAAAAGCCCCGGCUAACUUCGUG